Molecule: ribosomal RNA, 471 nt
Filed under: uncultured bacterium
Lineage: Bacteria
Description: SSU rRNA
Rfam family: Bacterial small subunit ribosomal RNA
Source: RNAcentral
AGAAUGAACGUUGGCGGCGUGGAUUAGGCAUGCAAGUCGAACGGGCCGCAAGGCCAGUGGCGCAAGGGUGAGUAAGGCGACGGUAACCAACCCCGCAGUUGGGCAUAGCCGAGGGAAACUUCGGGUAAUUCCCAGCGACGCGGCGGCCCGGCAUCGGGCUGCCGCCAAAGGUUUACUGCUGUGGGACGGGCCGUUGUGGUAUUAGCUUGUUGGCGGGGUGACGGCCCACCAAGGCUGCGAUGCCUACCGGGCGUGCGAGCGUGGCCCGGCACACUGGGACUGAGACACUGCCCAGACUCCUACGGGAGGCUGCAGUCGAGAAUCUUCGGCAAUGGGCGCAAGCCUGACCGAGCGACGCCGCGUGGAGGAUGGAAGGCCUUCGGGUUGUAAACUCCUGGUCGGAGGGGGAGGAAGGCGCAAGCUUGACCGAUCCCGUGGAGGAGCACGGGCUAAGUUCGUGCCAGCAGCCGC